RNAcentral lists this ribosomal RNA (884 nucleotides) under methanogenic bacterium enrichment culture clone Me_c11. Its description in RNAcentral is "bacterial SSU rRNA". It matches the Rfam family "Bacterial small subunit ribosomal RNA", at positions 616 to 1502 of the family's 1533-position model. The record is from RNAcentral.
AGGACCUGCAUUUGAAACUGGAUGUCUAGAGUGCGGGAGAGGUAAGUGGAAUUCCUAGUGUAGCGGUGAAAUGCGUAGAGAUUAGGAAGAACACCAGUGGCGAAGGCGACUUACUGGACCGUAACUGACACUGAGGCACGAAAGCGUGGGUAGCAAACAGGAUUAGAUACCCUGGUAGUCCACGCCGUAAACGAUGAGUACUAGGUGUAGGGGGUAUCGACUCCCCCUGUGCCGCAGUUAACACAAUAAGUACUCCGCCUGGGAAGUACGAUCGCAAGAUUAAAACUCAAAGGAAUUGACGGGGGCCCGCACAAGCAGCGGAGCAUGUGGUUUAAUUCGAAGCAACGCGAAGAACCUUACCUAGACUUGACAUCCCCUGCAUUACUCGUAACUGAGGAAGUCCUUCGGGACAGGGAGACAGGUGGUGCAUGGUUGUCGUCAGCUCGUGUCGUGAGAUGUUAGGUUAAGUCCUGCAACGAGCGCAACCCUUAUCAUUAGUUGCUACCAUUCAGUUGAGCACUCUAGUGAGACUGCCCGGGUUAACCGGGAGGAAGGUGGGGAUGACGUCAAAUCAUCAUGCCCCUUAUGUCUAGGGCUACACACGUGCUACAAUGGUGAGUACAAAGAGAUGCAAUCCCGUGAGGGGGAGCCAAACUUAUAAAACUCAUCUCAGUUCGGAUUGUAGGCUGAAACUCGCCUACAUGAAGCUGGAGUUGCUAGUAAUCGCGAAUCAGCAUGUCGCGGUGAAUACGUUCCCGGGCCUUGUACACACCGCCCGUCACACCAUGAGAGCUGGCAACACCCGAAGUCCGUAGUCUAACCGUAAGGAGGACGCGGCCGAAGGUGGGGUUAGUGAUUGGGGUGAAGUCGUAACAAGGUAGCCG